Molecule: ribosomal RNA, 825 nt
Filed under: Triticum aestivum (bread wheat)
Lineage: Eukaryota; Viridiplantae; Streptophyta; Magnoliopsida; Poales; Poaceae
Description: partial small subunit ribosomal RNA
Source: RNAcentral
AUGAUGGCCGGAGACAUGCUGAAAGUCAAGAGAAGCAGCAGAGCGAGCUCAAGUCCAAGGCAGGAAACACGCAAGCUGGGCCAGAGGGCCAGAGACUCGCAUCGGAACGAAGCGUUAAAAGAUCUGAUCAAAGGAGGGCUCAGCGAGGAAUCCGCUUCGAAGCUGGCUUUGAGCAUCGUCCCGCUCGUAUCGUAUCACGGUACAGGGAUCCAUUCUCGAUGCACGGGCAUAGUUGUCGAAAGCGAUCAAUACGCUACAUCUUUCCUCACAUCUAUAGAUCUGGUUACUAGAGACUCAGUUUUUCUCCCUGGAUGCCAGAUCAAAGUGCGUCUACCAAACAGGAGAGCGGCGAAGGCACAUCUGCAAUAUUACAGCGCGACUCCCGCUAUGCUUGUUGUGACCAUUGGGCCCUACCCUCAUCUUUGUGCAGCACGUAUCCGUGACAGAACUCAAGUCGAUGAGUCUUCCGGUGACCUGUUUGCUAUUAGUUGUCGGUACAAGACAGGCAAAUUAUCGGUCAUCCGUGGGAUGCUGGCUGACAGUCCAAGUGGACUCGAGGGCGAACGGUCCACGUGCCAAAUCACUGCGGUUGGAAGAGGUGGGCCUCUUGUUGGAGUUGAUGGGAGUAUUGUUGGGAUGAACCUCUGUACGGAAGAAGGGAUAACCCCAUUCGUACCAAUCAAUCAAAUUUAUAAAUGUCUGUGCAAAGUUGGGAUACGGGACUGUUUGGAGCCCGCACCAUCGAGCUUCAGUUCAGAAGGUACCUCCAACGCAGAUUCCAUUAUAGGUAGCUCGUGUCGAAACGGCUCAAGUGAGGCAAAGUGA